RNAcentral lists this ribosomal RNA (253 nucleotides) under uncultured bacterium. RNAcentral's name for it is "partial 16S ribosomal RNA". It matches the Rfam family "Bacterial small subunit ribosomal RNA", at positions 524 to 776 of the family's 1533-position model. The record is from RNAcentral.
UACGGGGGGGGCAAGCGUUGUUCGGAAUUACUGGGCGUGAAGGGCUCGUAGGCGGCCAACUAAGUCAGACGUGAAAUCCCUCGGCUUAACCGGGGAACUGCGUCUGAUACUGGAUGGCUUGAAUCCGGGAGAGGGAUGCGGAAUUCCAGGUGUAGCGGUGAAAUGCGUAGAUAUCUGGAGGAACACCGGUGGCGAAGGCGGCAUCCUGGACCAACACUGACGCUGAGGAGCGAAAGCCAGGGGAGCAAACGGG